UACGUAGGGCGCAAGCGUUGUCCGGAAUUAUUGGGCGUAAAGAGCUCGUAGGCGGUCUGUCACGUCUGCCGUGAAAACCCGAGGCUUAACCUCGUGGCUUGCGGUGGAUACGGGCAGACUAGAGGUAGGUAGGGGAGAAUGGAAUUCCCGGUGUAGCGGUGAAAUGCGCAGAUAUCGGGAGGAACACCGGUGGCGAAGGCGGUUCUCUGGGCCGAUACUGACGCUGAGGAGCGAAAGCGUGGGGAGCGAACAGG
RNAcentral lists this ribosomal RNA (254 nucleotides) under uncultured bacterium. Its description in RNAcentral is "partial 16S ribosomal RNA". It matches the Rfam family "Bacterial small subunit ribosomal RNA", at positions 524 to 776 of the family's 1533-position model. The record is from RNAcentral.